GAAAUGCGAUACUUGGUGUGAAUUGCAGAAUCCCGUGAACCAUCGAGUUUUUGAACGCAAGUUGCGCCCGAGGCUUGUCCGAGGGCAUUUCCGCUAGAGCGUCACCGCGCCCCCCCCACCACGCUCCCUAAGUUACUUGGGAGUUUGAGUGGAACUGGCCGUCCCGGAAAUCGGGUCGGCUGAAAUGGAGGGAAUUUGGCCGCCGUGGUAGAACAACCAGCGAUCAGGUGAUCCGGGUGCAAACCCGGAACUCAAACGUGCGCCGGUUGUGACACCCAGUUGGUUCCGAGCUCCAAAGCAGGUCUCCCUCCCUUCGCUCCGGUGAAGGGAAGGAAAAACGUCACGCAUCAGACCUCUGAUCAGAAAAGACUACCCGCUGAGUUUAA
RNAcentral lists this unclassified non-coding RNA (386 nucleotides) under uncultured fungus. RNAcentral's name for it is "sequence contains ITS1". The stretch from base 1 to 104 matches the Rfam family "5.8S ribosomal RNA", at positions 50 to 154 of the family's 154-position model. The record is from RNAcentral. Lineage: Eukaryota; Fungi.